RNAcentral lists this unclassified non-coding RNA (326 nucleotides) under Clematis acerifolia var. elobata. Its description in RNAcentral is "partial contains external transcribed spacer and 18S ribosomal RNA". Lineage: Eukaryota; Viridiplantae; Streptophyta; Magnoliopsida; Ranunculales; Ranunculaceae. The record is from RNAcentral.
UGACUACUGGCAGGAUCAACCAGGUAGCAUUCCUCUACGACACCGGCGCCCCGUCGCUGCUCGCCGGGCGGGCCGGGGAGCAGUCGGCGAGGGCCGGUGGUCAUUCUUUGGCUACAGUUGCUUUGGCCGGGUUCGGAACCCAGGCCUGUCUGUGUUUUCCACAUCCCCAGGCACGUGUCGGCUCGUUGGCCAGACGCACGGGCGGAUGACCCGUGGUUGGUUUCACAAGCCGCACGAACAUGUUGUCCUCGGCCGGCGCGUGGCCGUCAGAGGGCAAAGACGUCUCGUUGGAUCGUUUCCGCUUCGUAUCCGGGUAAGCAACACAG